CUCUUAGAUGUCCUGGGCCGCACGCGCGUUACACUGAUGCAUUCAACGAGCUUAUAACCUUGGCCGAGAGGCCUGGGCAAUCUUGUUAACGUGCAUCGUGAUAGGGAUAGAUUAUUGAAAUUAUUAAUCUUGAACGAGGAAUUCCUAGUAAACGCAGAUCAUCAAUCUGCAUUGAUUACGUCCCUGCCCUUUGUACACACCGCCCGUCGCACCUACCGAUUGGAUGGUCCGGUGAAGCCUCGGGAUUGUGGUUCUUGCCGCUUUAUUGUGGCGUGACCGCGAGAACUUGUCUAAACCUUAUCAUCUAGAGGAAGGUGAAGUCGUAACA
Molecule: ribosomal RNA, 328 nt
Filed under: uncultured eukaryote
Lineage: Eukaryota
Description: partial 18S ribosomal RNA
Rfam family: Eukaryotic small subunit ribosomal RNA
Source: RNAcentral